This 358-nucleotide ribosomal RNA is filed under the name Eleutherodactylus cubanus (Cuban robber frog). RNAcentral describes it as "partial 12S ribosomal RNA". It matches the Rfam family "Bacterial small subunit ribosomal RNA", at positions 871 to 1384 of the family's 1533-position model. The record is from RNAcentral. Lineage: Eukaryota; Metazoa; Chordata; Amphibia; Anura; Eleutherodactylidae.
GUCAGGGUACUACGAGCAAAGCUUAAAACCCAAAGGACUUGACGGUGCCCCAUAUCCCCCUAGAGGAGCCUGUCCUAUAAUCGAUGAUCCCCGUUUAACCUCACCGCAUCUAGCUUACCAGUCUGUAUACUUCCGUCGCAAGCCUACCACAUGAGCGAUAUUUAGUUAGCCCAAUAUUCACACAAUGUAUUUACAUCAACAAUACGUCAGGUCAAAGUGCAGCAAACGAUGCGGGAUGAGAUUGGCUACACUUUUUAACUUAGAAGAAACGGAAGACAAUAAUGAAACUUUGUCAGAAGGUGGAUUUAGCAGUAAAAGAAAAAUAUAAAAUCUCUUUUAACUCGGCACUGGGGUGUGU